This 479-nucleotide ribosomal RNA is filed under the name uncultured bacterium. Its description in RNAcentral is "partial 16S ribosomal RNA". It matches the Rfam family "Bacterial small subunit ribosomal RNA", at positions 28 to 507 of the family's 1533-position model. The record is from RNAcentral.
GAUGAACGCUGGCGGCGUGCUUAACACAUGCAAGUCGAGCGAGAAGUUUUGAACAGAUUCUUCGGAUGCAAUUUAAAAUGGAAAGCGGCGGACGGGUGAGUAACGCGUAGGCAACCUGCCCCAUACAAAGGGAUAGCAUUUGGAAACGAAUAUUAAUACCUUAUGAAACUUAACUAGUGCAUGCUAGGUAGGUCAAAGAUUUAUCGGUAUGGGAUGGGCCUGCGUCUGAUUAGCUAGUUGGUGAGGUAACGGCUCACCAAGGCGACGAUCAGUAGCCGACCUGAGAGGGUGAACGGCCACAUUGGAACUGAGACACGGUCCAAACUCCUACGGGAGGCAGCAGUGGGGAAUAUUGCACAAUGGGGGAAACCCUGAUGCAGCAACGCCGCGUGAACGAUGAAGGCCUUUGGGUCGUAAAGUUCUGUUCUAGGUGAUGAAAACUGACAGUAACCUAGGAGAAAGCCCCGGCUAACUCCGUG